ACAGCCAUAUCACGAUGAAACACCAGUUCUUGUUCGAUCACUGAAGUUAAGCAAUGUUGAUCCUGGUCAGAACCUAGAGGAGUGAACGCUUGUGAAUACCAGCUGCUGUAAG
Acanthosepion pharaonis is the source of this 112-nucleotide non-coding RNA. The record is from the annotation of a GenBank genome assembly. NCBI's taxonomy places the organism in Eukaryota, Metazoa, Mollusca, Cephalopoda, Sepiida, Sepiidae.